GUACCGAUAUAGAUAAUCUUGAAGUAAUUCUUGAUUCUUAGAUCAACUAGAGAACUCUCAGGAAACUACCUCUCUUCCCACCAAAAAUAAUUAUAUAGUUAUCCUUGGGCGAUCUUGGAUCUUAAUUAGUACACUCAUAUUCUCUGUGGAAAAUCGAUACUCUGGAAUACUCCCGGGUGAAAGCUACAUCGGUAUCCGUGCGCUUGCGGAUUUUUCUGUUUGCGUUUAAAAUACCCAACAAGCUUUCUGGCGCCGUUGCCGGGGAAUGGUAGCUGUGCUAGUUUCGAACCAAGUCGUCCGUGUAUCCUUUUUCUUUUCUUUUUUUACCACACUCACCUUAUCACUUUCACCAUACCACAUGGAUUUCACUCUAAGCAUUAAUGAGCAUGGAAUUUAUUUCAUAGCCACUUCAUUUACUCUAUGCUCACAUGCAACAUCUUCACAAUCCAUUGGUCUCUCCAACAUCACCACAUUCG
RNAcentral lists this long non-coding RNA (476 nucleotides) under Sorghum bicolor (sorghum). Its description in RNAcentral is "long non-coding RNA (SBIC_LNC002727)". The record is from RNAcentral. Lineage: Eukaryota; Viridiplantae; Streptophyta; Magnoliopsida; Poales; Poaceae.